RNAcentral lists this ribosomal RNA (253 nucleotides) under uncultured bacterium. Its description in RNAcentral is "partial 16S ribosomal RNA". It matches the Rfam family "Bacterial small subunit ribosomal RNA", at positions 524 to 776 of the family's 1533-position model. The record is from RNAcentral.
UACGAAGGGGGCUAGCGUUGUUCGGAAUUACUGGGCGUAAAGGGCGCGUAGGCGGCUCUGAUCGUCGGAUGUGAAAGGCCUGGGCUCAACCUGGGAAUGGCAUCCGAUACGGCGGGGCUGGAGUGUGGGAGAGGUUGGUGGAAUUCCCAGUGUAGAGGUGAAAUUCGUAGAUAUUGGGAAGAACACCGGUGGCGAAGGCGGCAUCCUGGACCAAUUCUGACGCUGAGGAGCGAAAGCCAGGGGAGCAAACGGG